RNAcentral lists this microRNA precursor (59 nucleotides) under Aedes aegypti (yellow fever mosquito). RNAcentral describes it as "Aae-Mir-929-P1_pre stem-loop". It matches the Rfam family "mir-929 microRNA precursor family", at positions 8 to 67 of the family's 74-position model. Lineage: Eukaryota; Metazoa; Arthropoda; Insecta; Diptera; Culicidae. The record is from RNAcentral.
AAAUUGACUCUAGUAGGGAGUCCUUGUGUACGAGUGACUCCCUAACGGAGUCAGAUUGA